This 575-nucleotide long non-coding RNA is filed under the name Monodelphis domestica (gray short-tailed opossum). RNAcentral describes it as "lncRNA (ENSMODG00000033044.2)". The record is from RNAcentral. Lineage: Eukaryota; Metazoa; Chordata; Mammalia; Didelphimorphia; Didelphidae.
AUCCCCAAGUCUUCAAAUUAUCACAGCAGAGCAACAGUGUGUGAUACUGAAAGCUAGCAAACCAUCUGGGUGGCUAACUGGUAGUGGUAACAGGAUGGGAGGAAAUGAAUUCCCCAGGAGAGGAAGCAAAUGAUUUCAAGUAAGCCCCAGAUGAGUCUUUGGAACAUGGGAAAGGUAUUGGCUGGAUUUCACUAGGAAAAGAAUCUGUUACAUCAGUAUAUCUGUGUAUUUCCCUGCAUGAUGAACCAUGGGGAAGCAGCAAAGGGAAGGCAACAAAGAAGACAGCCAGUGUGUGUCUAUGGAAAGAAGCCUAGUACCUUGUGUCACUACUUCAAACCAUUCUUGCAUGGGUAUGACAUGAAUCAUUGAAGGGAAAGAAGGGAACAAUGGUCCUUCUGUAUCAUCCCCAAGGAAGAAUGAGAAAAAGACAAAGCCUCUAGAAAAGAGAGGAAGGUUGUGAAAUGAAUUCAUUCUUCAUUCUGGAAGAACUGGAGAAAAUGCAGUGUGUGAGGUGAUCCAGAGGCUAGACAGAUAUGAGUCAGCUAGGGAAAUAAAAGGAAAGGGAUGACUAAGCA